ACUGCAGUGGUGAGAAACCAGGACUCUUAUUUUGAAAACUGAAAGGAGGAGCUGUGUGCGCGCCUGCGCCCUUACAUCUGCAGAGCGUUUGGUGUGUCGUUACACGGAUUUUUCCUCAUCAAAUUUUCAUUUUAUUUUGCAGAUCAAUGGACAACUUUGUCAUUAACACUUUGACAGACCUUGUGACUUGUCUAAAGAUUUGAUAUUAGAGCACCAAGGAAAAGGACAAUGGAGCACGAGGAGGCUCCUUCGACCUCCAGACAGUUGAAGUUGAGAGAAACCAAGCUAGUCACACAGAAGAAUGUUGAUCAUGCCGUGUUGAAUUGUGUGACCCAGAGUCUACAACCCUUUAGUGAUCUUCAGCCUAAUGCCUCUCUCAUAUCAAGGAGCACUCUGUGACGUAAGAUGGAUGAGGCAGUACUUGAAAUGAAGAAAAAUAUAAAAAAGCAAUGUCAGGGAUCGAUUUCAUUGCAACCACAACAGGCAGCUCAGAGGUGAUGAUGCUGAGGUCACCUUACUUGAUAUAUUUUAUUCAUUUAUUUAUUUUUUUACCAAGUAUCACCAGUUUCAUGUGAAGCAGUAUAGAGUUAAUAAUACACAAAUACUGACAAUUACAUGUAAAAGCAUUACUAAAUAUUGUUCCUGACAGUGUGGGGAAAUUCAUAACUGAAAUAGUAUUAUAUACCCCUUCUAUAUGCAGUUGUGACUGGCAAGUGCGUUUCUUCUGAUCACAAACACUAGUUCCUAUUACAGUGAAUCUGAUAUGGCCAGUUUAUAUUUAUACACAGACACAUUCAGAUAUGAUAUAGUAAAGGAAAACUCAUGUUAACCUGUGUUUUGCAAGUUUAAGUUUAAAUAAAAACUUGGAUAACUGUUACAAAUAAAUGUUAAACUGAAACUA
Carassius gibelio (silver crucian carp) is the source of this 901-nucleotide long non-coding RNA. RefSeq lists it as uncharacterized. The transcript is spliced from 3 exons. The record is from RefSeq and is a predicted model, not a curated record. NCBI's taxonomy places the organism in Eukaryota, Metazoa, Chordata, Actinopteri, Cypriniformes, Cyprinidae.